This 85-nucleotide transfer RNA is filed under the name Felis catus (domestic cat). It matches the Rfam family "tRNA". Rfam says of the family: Transfer RNA (tRNA) molecules are approximately 80 nucleotides in length. Their secondary structure includes four short double-helical elements and three loops (D, anti-codon, and T loops). Further hydrogen bonds mediate the characteristic L-shaped molecular structure. tRNAs have two regions of fundamental functional importance: the anti-codon, which is responsible for specific mRNA codon recognition, and the 3' end, to which the tRNAs corresponding amino acid is attached (by aminoacyl-tRNA synthetases). tRNAs cope with the degeneracy of the genetic code in two manners: having more than one tRNA (with a specific anti-codon) for a particular amino acid; and 'wobble' base-pairing, i.e. permitting non-standard base-pairing at the 3rd anti-codon position. The record is from Rfam by way of RNAcentral. Lineage: Eukaryota; Metazoa; Chordata; Mammalia; Carnivora; Felidae.
GCCUGGGUGGCUCAGUUGGUUAAGUAUCCGACUUCGGCUCAGGUCAUGAUCUCAGAGCUUGUGGGUUCAAGCCCUGCUUCAGGCU